CGAACGCUGGCGGCGUGCUUAACACAUGCAAGUCGAGCGGUAAGGCCCUUUCGGGGGUACACGAGCGGCGAACGGGUGAGUAACACGUGGGUGACCUGCCCUCAGCUCUGGGAUAAGCCUGGGAAACCGGGUCUAAUACCGGAUAUGACUCCAUGACGCAUGUUGUGGGGUGGAAAGCCUUGUGCGGCUGAGGAUGGGCCCGCGGCCUAUCAGCUUGUUGGUGGGGUGANGGCCUACCAAGGCGACGACGGGUAGCCGGCCUGAGAGGGCGACCGGCCACACUGGGACUGAGACACGGCCCAGACUCCUACGGGAGGCAGCAGUGGGGAAUCUUGCGCAAUGGGCGAAAGCCUGACGCAGCGACGCCGCGUGAGGGAUGACGGCCU
This 386-nucleotide ribosomal RNA is filed under the name uncultured bacterium. RNAcentral's name for it is "bacterial SSU rRNA". It matches the Rfam family "Bacterial small subunit ribosomal RNA", at positions 30 to 417 of the family's 1533-position model. The record is from RNAcentral.